GGCAGGAGACGCAUCAUUAUUACUCAGUCACACAAGGAGGAGCAUGAGUAGAGGAGGCAGGAGACGCAUCAUUAUUACUCAGUCACACAAGGAGGAGCAUGAGUAGAGGGGGCAGGAGACGCAUCAUUAUUACUCAUCACACAAGGAGGAGCAUGGGUAGAGGAGGCAGGAGACGCAUCAUUAUUACUCAGUCACACAAGGAGGAGCAUGGGUAGAGGGGGCAGGAGACCACAGCUUUGAAUUUCAAGACCUCAGUGUUUUGCCACCACAUCACACUGACUCAGGUCCAUUGUGCUCUGCUUGAUGCUCAUCCCCAUGAAUUUUUAAUUGGAAGUUGGAGGAGAAAUGAUUACGCAAGCACCAAGAAAACAUGAUGCAUGGGCGAGUUGUACUGUUUCCAAAAUAUUUAGAAAGGCAAUAAAGUCCUCAUGGUAUAGUUCCUGACUUCAACACGUUGUUUUCUGUCAGUCGCACUAAUUUCAUUCCAUUUACUAAAUGAAUUUUUAUGUGGAGAAUUUAUGAAACAUAAAUUUGGAUGGAAUAUGUAUGUGUAUCUAUAUAGAACAUGUAUAUCUAUAACUUAUGUGGUUUAAAGAUAAGUGUUUGGCGUCUGAAACAGUACUGAGAAUUAGAUGCAGACAUAGAAUUAUUUUGUCAUUUAUGUGUGCACAUGUGCAAGUGCAGAGCUGUGUGUACCCAGGGAAUGGGGGGUACACACAUAGUGUGUUCGGUCGAUGAUACUUAUGGCACAGUUUUAUGUGAGACGAUCUCAUAAUAGAAGGUAAUGGAUACCAAACUGUAUUUACAGAAAUGUGACUUGGCAAAUAUGAGGGCAGGAAAAGGAAAGCUUCAUCAGCAUGCCUGCUUUAGAGGUCUCGGUACAGGAUGGCUUUGAGGCCAGAACACAUUGCUAUUAUAUAAGUAUGUUUUGUUUUUUUUUUUCAAAUCAAAAUACAAUAUUUUUCCAUUACCAGAAAUUGAUUCUUUUACUAAAAUACUGUAGGACUAAAAAUAGAAUGUUGAAUUAAAUGACGUUGAAGAUAACAAGGGCCUGUUUUAACUCAGUGUCUCUUAGGCACCAGAGAGCCUUGUGGGCAUCUUGAUUAGAGAUGUGCUUCAGGAGGCUAAUCCGAGGAUAAUCUAUUCAGCAGAUUAUAAGCAAACAGAGAAUUAAGCCAGACUGGGAGGAGAAUGUUACAGAAAAACAACAAGAAACCUCAGAGGCUUACGGUUUAUCACAGGUUCUUAACUGGGGGUAUGGAAAUGGCUGGACGCAUGUUGAGCUGUUACAGUGCCUGGAGGAUGCCCCUGGUAUUGAGGUGAUGGGAAUCGGGAAAGGGAAACAUGCUGCACUGUAAGAAAUCUGCACAGCAGAGACUGUCACUCCUGGCGCAGGCACAGCCCUCGAGUGAGUGCUGUAACAGGCAGAGGAGUUUGGGGGAUGUUAUCUAAGAGGCAGUGUAACUGGGAAGACAGAACUUCAGGGGAGUCUGCUUUAUUUCCGAACACCAUUAUGCAGUGUUCGCUGAGACAGAGGUAGUUUAUGUACUUGUUCUUGGAGAGCACUCAAAUGCUAGGAUUCUUCCUUAAGUUUUCUCCUAAAAGAGAAGCAGGAAGCUAAUUCUUACCAGUAACAUAAAAACAAACAUUCCAGCCUUUAAAUUAUUGAAAGCAUUUUACAGGAGAGAAUUAUAGAUGAAAAUAUCUGUUUGAAAUUCAGGGCAUAAGCUUAUGAAUCAGUCUCCUUAAGUAAAAUAAAUGAAGAACUUGAUUCAUUUACUGCUGUGCUGGUGAAAUGAUUAUAAGAAGAAUUUUUGUCACGAAACUCGUUCAUUCUUUUAGCGCCUUUCCCCACAUCGACUGUGCGUCAGCCCCGCUCUAGGGCUUGAGCACUCAGUCGUGUCUUCGGGGAACUUAAUCGUGGGGAGGACUGUAAAUGAUGUCGGGGGGGUAAUCAAAGCACCGGGAGCGCAGGGAAAGUGCAAACGGAGUGACAGUGGCGUGUUUUAAAAGGGCCGGCCAAGGGGACUGUCUUGAAGAGGUGAAAUCUUGAGUAGAGACCGAAUAAAGGACAGGUGUUGGCAUGUGAAUAUGUGCGUGGAAAGAAAUUGAGCAGAAUCAGCAAAAGGCCUGAGAAUAUUUGGUCAUGUUGUAGAGACCAGUGAGCAAGAGGAAAGCUGUAGAAAUAAAGCUGGAGAGAGAGCCAAGUGCCCAGACAGAUGGGAACUCCGUGCUAGCCCAUGGAACAGCUUUUAUUUGAAGGCACCUUAAAGGCCACUAGAAGAUCCUGAGUAUUAAGAGAGGUGCAAUCUGAAAAAUGUUUCAAAAGUUUCACUCUGAGCUCCAUGUAAUUUUUUAAAAUUUAAUUUUAACUUAAUAUUGGAGGAUAAUUGAUUUAGAACAUAGUAUUAAUUUCAGGUGCAUGGAAAAGCAGUUAACUUAUACAUAUACAUAUAAUCCAUGUUGUUAGGUUCUUUCCCUGUCUAGGCUAUUACGGAAUAUUGAGCAGAGGUCCCUGCGCAGUGCAGUAGCUCCUUGUUGAUUUUCUCUGGUCCAUGUUGUAGUGUGCGUAUGUUCACCCAAACUCCCAAUCCAUCCCUACCACAUUUCCCCUUUGUUAACCAUGUCUGUUUUCCAAGUCUGGGAGUCUGUUUCUUUAUUUGCAAACAAGUUCAUUUGUAUCAUUUUUAGAUUCCACAUAUAAGUGAUAUCAUAUGAUAUUUGUCUUUGCCUAACUUCACUUAGUAUGAUAAUCAGUAGUUGCAUCCGUGUUGCAGCAAAUGGUGUUAUUUCGUUAUGUUUUAUGGCUGAGAGGUAUUCCAUUGUGUAUAUGUACCACAUCUUCCUUAUCCAUUCCUCUGUCAAUUGCCAUGUAGGUUGCUUCCGUGUCUUGGCUGCACUGAGCAUUGGACUGCAUGUAUUCUUUCGAAUUAUGUUUUUUUUUUUCCUCAUAGAUGCCCAGGGGUAGGAUUUCUGGAUCCUCUGGUAGUUCUGUUUUUAGUUCUUGGAGGAAUCUCCAUACUGGUUUCUAUAGUGGUUGUACCAAUUUACAUUCCCACCAACACAAUAGGAGAGCUGCCUUUUCUCCACACCUCUCCAGCAUUUAUGGUUUGUAGACUUUCUGAUGAUGGCCAUUCUGACUGGUGUGAAAUAGUACUUCAUUAUAGUUUUGAUUUGCGUUUCUCUGAUAAUUAGUGAUGUUGAACAGCUUGUCACAUAUUUUUUGCCCACCUGUAUGUCUUCUUUGGAGAAAUGUCUAUUUGGAUUUUCUGCUUAUUUUUCAGAUAGAAAGUGAAGAAAGAAACCCACACACCUAUGGUUAACUAAUCUAUGACAAAGGAGGUGAGAAUAUACAAUGGAGAAAAGAGUCUCUUCAAUCCAUAAGUAGUGCUGGGAAAACUGGAUAACUACAUGUAAAGAAUAAAAUUAGAACAUUCUCUAACACUAGACACAAUAAUAAAGUCAAAAUUGAUUAAAGACCUAAAUGUAAGACCAGAUACUAUGAAACUCUAAGAGUAAAACAUAGGCAGAACAUUCUUUGACAUAAAUUGCAUCAAUAUCUUUUGGGAUCCACCUCCCAGAGUAAUGAAAAUAAAAACAAAGAUAAAUGGGAAUUAAGUAACUUAAAAGCUUUUGCACAGCAAAGGAAACCAUAAACACAAUGAAAAAAACAAUCUGCAGAAUGGGAGAAAGUAUUUGCAAAUGAAGCAGCCAAUAAGGAAUUAUCCUCCAAAACAGACAAACAACUCACGCAAC
Molecule: long non-coding RNA, 3756 nt
Filed under: Sus scrofa (pig)
Lineage: Eukaryota; Metazoa; Chordata; Mammalia; Artiodactyla; Suidae
Description: lncRNA (ENSSSCG00055027834.1)
Source: RNAcentral